This 433-nucleotide ribosomal RNA is filed under the name uncultured bacterium. Its description in RNAcentral is "partial 16S ribosomal RNA". It matches the Rfam family "Bacterial small subunit ribosomal RNA", at positions 29 to 507 of the family's 1533-position model. The record is from RNAcentral.
AACGAACGCUGGCGGCAUGCCUAACACAUGCAAGUCGAACGAGACCUUCGGGGCUAGUGGCGCACGGGUGCGUAACGCGUGGGAACCUGCCCUUAGGUUCGGAAUAACUCCCCGAAAGGGGUGCUAAUACCGGAUAAUGUCUUCGGACCAAAGAUUUAUCGCCUUUGGAUGGGCCCGCGUUGGAUUAGCUAGUUGGUAGGGUAAAAGCCUACCAAGGCGACGAUCCAUAGCUGGUCUGAGAGGAUGAUCAGCCACACUGGGACUGAGACACGGCCCAGACUCCUACGGGAGGCAGCAGUGGGGAAUAUUGGACAAUGAGCGAAAGCCUGAUCCAGCAAUGCCGCGUGAGUGAUGAAGGCCUUAGGGUUGUAAAGCUCUUUUACCCGGGAUGAUAAUGACAGUACCGGGAGAAUAAGCUCCGGCUAACUCCGUG